Molecule: ribosomal RNA, 406 nt
Filed under: uncultured bacterium
Lineage: Bacteria
Description: partial 16S ribosomal RNA
Rfam family: Bacterial small subunit ribosomal RNA
Source: RNAcentral
AUUGAACGCUGGCGGCAGGCCUAACACAUGCAAGUCGAACGAGUGGCGGACGGGUGAGUAAUGUCUGGGAAACUGCCUGAUGGAGGGGGAUAACUACUGGAAACGGUAGCUAAUACCGCAUACCAUCGGAUGUGCCCAGAUGGGAUUAGCUAGUAGGUGGGGUAAAGGCUCACCUAGGCGACGAUCCCUAGCUGGUCUGAGAGGAUGACCAGCAAAACGGGAACUGAGACACGGUCCAGACUCCGACGGGAGGAAGAAGUGGGGAAUAGUGGACAAUGGGCGAAAGCCUGAUGCAGCAAUGCGGCGGGUAUGAAGAAGGGCUUCGGGUUGUAAAGUACUUUCAGCGGGGAGGCGUUACCCGAAGAAGAAGCACCGGCUAACUCCGUGCCAGCAGCCGCGGUAAUUC